RNAcentral lists this ribosomal RNA (497 nucleotides) under uncultured bacterium. RNAcentral describes it as "partial 16S ribosomal RNA". It matches the Rfam family "Bacterial small subunit ribosomal RNA", at positions 28 to 507 of the family's 1533-position model. The record is from RNAcentral.
GAUGAACGCUGGCGGCGUGCCUAAUACAUGCAAGUCGAGCGAACGGACGAGAAGCUUGCUUCUCUGAUGUUAGCGGCGGACGGGUGAGUAACACGUGGAUAACCUACCUAUAAGACUGGGAUAACUUCGGGAAACCGGAGCUAAUACCGGAUAAUAUUUUGAACCGCAUGGUUCAAAAGUGAAAGACGGUCUUGCUGUCACUUAUAGAUGGAUCCGCGCUGCAUUAGCUAGUUGGUAAGGUAACGGCUUACCAAGGCAACGAUGCAUAGCCGACCUGAGAGGGUGAUCGGCCACACUGGAACUGAGACACGGUCCAGACUCCUACGGGAGGCAGCAGUAGGGAAUCUUCCGCAAUGGGCGAAAGCCUGACGGAGCAACGCCGCGUGAGUGAUGAAGGUCUUCGGAUCGUAAAACUCUGUUAUUAGGGAAGAACAUAUGUGUAAGGAACUGUGCACAUCUUGACGGUACCUAAUCAGAAAGCCACGGCUAACUACGUG